ACGAAGGGGGCUAGCGUUGUUCGGAAUUACUGGGCGUAAAGGGCGCGUAGGCGGUGUGUCAAGUCAGGCGUGAAAGCCCUGGGCUCAACCUGGGAAUUGCAUUCGAGACUGCUCUGCUAGGGUGCGGAAGAGGGAAGCGGAAUUUCCGGUGUAGCGGUGAAAUGCGUAGAUAUCGGAAGGAACACCAGUGGCGAAAGCGGCUUCCUGGUCCAGCACCGACGUUCAGGGACGAAAGCGUGGGGAGCAAACAGGA
Molecule: ribosomal RNA, 253 nt
Filed under: uncultured prokaryote
Description: partial 16S ribosomal RNA
Rfam family: Bacterial small subunit ribosomal RNA
Source: RNAcentral